Molecule: ribosomal RNA, 497 nt
Filed under: uncultured bacterium
Lineage: Bacteria
Description: partial 16S ribosomal RNA
Rfam family: Bacterial small subunit ribosomal RNA
Source: RNAcentral
GAUGAACGCUGGCGGCGUGCCUAAUACAUGCAAGUCGAACGAACAGACGAGGAGCUUGCUCCUCUGACGUUAGCGGCGGACGGGUGAGUAACACGUGGAUAACCUACCUAUAAGACUGGGAUAACUUCGGGAAACCGGAGCUAAUACCGGAUAAUAUAUUGAACCGCAUGGUUCAAUAGUGAAAGACGGUUUUGCUGGCACUUAUAGAUGGAUCCGCGCCGCAUUAGCUAGUUGGUAAGGUCACGGCUUACCAAGGCAACGAUGCGUAGCCGACCUGAGAGGGUGAUCGGCCACACUGGAACGGAGACACGGUCCAGACUCCUACGGGAGGCAGCAGUAGGGAAUCGUACGCAAUGGGCGAAAGCCUGACGGAGCAACGGCGCGUGAGUGAUGAAGGUCUUCGGAUCGUAAAACUCUGUUAUGAGGGAAGAACAAAUGUGUAAGUAACUAUGCACGUCUUGACGGUACCUAAUCAGAAAGCCACGGCUAACUACGUG